Molecule: ribosomal RNA, 859 nt
Filed under: Pyrenophora wirreganensis
Lineage: Eukaryota; Fungi; Ascomycota; Dothideomycetes; Pleosporales; Pleosporaceae
Description: partial large subunit ribosomal RNA
Rfam family: Eukaryotic large subunit ribosomal RNA
Source: RNAcentral
GACCAACAGGGAUUGCCCUAGUAACGGCGAGUGAAGCGGCAACAGCUCAAAUUUGAAAUCUGGCUCUUUCAGAGUCCGAGUUGUAAUUUGCAGAGGGCGCUUUGGCUUUGGCAGCGGUCCAAGUUCCUUGGAACAGGACGUCACAGAGGGUGAGAAUCCCGUACGUGGUCGCUGGCUAUUGCCGUGUAAAGCCCCUUCGACGAGUCGAGUUGUUUGGGAAUGCAGCUCUAAAUGGGAGGUAAAUUUCUUCUAAAGCUAAAUACUGGCCAGAGACCGAUAGCGCACAAGUAGAGUGAUCGAAAGAUGAAAAGCACUUUGGAAAGAGAGUCAAACAGCACGUGAAAUUGUUGAAAGGGAAGCGCUUGCAGCCAGACUUGCUUGCAGUUGCUCAUCCGGGCUUUUGCCCGGUGCACUCUUCUGCAGGCAGGCCAGCAUCAGUUUGGGCGGUGGGAUAAAGGUCUCUGUCACGUACCUCUCUUCGGGGAGGCCUUAUAGGGGAGGCGACAUACCACCAGCCUGGACUGAGGUCCGCGCAUCUGCUAGGAUGCUGGCGUAAUGGCUGUAAGCGGCCCGUCUUGAAACACGGACCAAGGAGUCUAACAUCUAUGCGAGUGUUUGGGUGUCAAGCCCGGACGCGUAAUGAAAGUGAACGGAGGUGGGAACCCGCAAGGGCGCACCAUCGACCGAUCCUGAUGUCUUCGGAAGGAUUUGAGUAAGAGCAUGGCUGUUGGGACCCGAAAGAUGGUGAACUAUGCUUGAAUAGGGUGAAGCCAGAGGAAACUCUGGUGGAGGCUCGCAGCGGUUCUGACGUGCAAAUCGAUCGUCAAAUUUGGGCAUAGGGGCGAAAGACUAAUCGAAC